This 453-nucleotide ribosomal RNA is filed under the name Streptomyces glaucosporus. RNAcentral describes it as "bacterial SSU rRNA". It matches the Rfam family "Bacterial small subunit ribosomal RNA", at positions 56 to 524 of the family's 1533-position model. Lineage: Bacteria; Bacillati; Actinomycetota; Actinomycetes; Kitasatosporales; Streptomycetaceae. The record is from RNAcentral.
UGCAAGUCGAACGAUGAACCUCCUCCGGGAGGGGAAGAGUGGCGAACGGGUGAGUAACACGUGGGCAAUCUGCCCUGCACUCUGGGAUAACUCCGGGAAACCGGAGCUAAUACCGGAUACGACUCUCCAGGGCAUCCUGGGGGGUGGAAAGCUCCGGCGGUGCAGGAUGAGCCCGCGGCCUAUCAGCUGGUUGGUGGGGUGACGGCCCACCAAGGCGACGACGGGUAGCCGGCCUGAGAGGGCGACCGGCCACACUGGGACUGAGACACGGCCCAGACUCCUACGGGAGGCAGCAGUGGGGAAUAUUGCACAAUGGGCGCAAGCCUGAUGCAGCGACGCCGCGUGAGGGAUGACGGCCUUCGGGUUGUAAACCUCUUUCAGCAGGGAAGAAGCGGAAGUGACGGUACCUGCAGAAGAAGCACCGGCUAACUACGUGCCAGCAGCCGCGGUAAU